AUCAUAUUUUCAUAAUUUUAUCAGAAAAUAAUAUUAUUUUUGUGUGUACGGACUACGAAUAACCAAUUGCCAAUAAUUGGUCAUUAGCGCACAAUCAGUUAUACACUAUUACAAUAUUGCAUGUAUAGCCCCCUGCGCUGUUUUACACUUUUGUAAUAUUUAUUAAUUGGGUUCGUAUUAUUCGUAUCGUGUUCGUUGUUGUCUGCUUGACGUUCCUACAGAUUGUUAAUAAUUGUAUUGCAUCAGGUUGCAGAUUUAGAAGAACCAAUUUACCCUGGCCAAAUUAUCAAAAAUAUUUUAAAGUAUUAAGAGUCAUUGAGGAUAAUUUUUUUACAAGAAGCUGAAAGUGGAGUGCUCAAGUUGUGUCGAUACAAAGUGUUACAAGGUGGAUUCACGUUCAAACUCUAAUAUAAGAAAACAUUUAAGCACACAACAUUCAACUAUAUUAAAGAAAAUUGAUCACAUUGAUAAUGCAGCGAACAUAAACACUUCAAAGAGAUGCAAUGAUGGAUCAUUGAAGCAUAAUGCUUUUAGUUCUUUGGAACAACCAGUUUUAGAAGAUGUUUUGAAGAACAA
Myzus persicae (green peach aphid) is the source of this 576-nucleotide long non-coding RNA. RefSeq lists it as uncharacterized. The record is from RefSeq and is a predicted model, not a curated record. Lineage: Eukaryota; Metazoa; Arthropoda; Insecta; Hemiptera; Aphididae. The transcript has 2 exons.